RNAcentral lists this transfer RNA (74 nucleotides) under Dallia pectoralis (Alaska blackfish). RNAcentral describes it as "tRNA-OTHER". It matches the Rfam family "tRNA". From Rfam's summary of the family: Transfer RNA (tRNA) molecules are approximately 80 nucleotides in length. Lineage: Eukaryota; Metazoa; Chordata; Actinopteri; Esociformes; Umbridae. The record is from RNAcentral.
GGCGCUGUGGCUUAGUUGGUUAAAGCGCCUGUCUAGUAAACAGGAGAUCCUGAGUUCGUAUCUUAGCAGCGCCU